Gallus gallus (chicken) is the source of this 2183-nucleotide long non-coding RNA. NCBI's taxonomy places the organism in Eukaryota, Metazoa, Chordata, Aves, Galliformes, Phasianidae. The record is from Ensembl.
GGGAGAUAGGGAGGGAGGGAGAUACAGGGAGGGAGAGAUGGAGAGAGAUAGAGGGAUAAAGAGAUAUAGAGAGGGAGAUACAGAGAGAUGGAGAUACAGAGAUAGAGAGAGAGGGAGAUAUAGAGAGAUACAGAGAGAGAGAGGGAGAUAUGGGGGGAGAGAUGGGGGGAGAGAGAGAUAUAGAGAUAGAGGGAGAUACAGAGAGAGAGGGAGAGAUGGAGGGAGAUGGAGGGAGAUAUAGAGAUAGAGAGAGGGAAAUAUAGAGGGAGAUAUAGAGAUAGAGGGACAGAUGGAGGGUGAGGGAGAUAUAGAGAGAUAUAGGGAGAUAUUAGGAAGAUAGAGAGAGAGAUAAGAGGGAGAUACAGAGAUAGAGGGGGAUAUAGAGGGGGAUAGAGAGAGAUAGGGGGAGAGAGAGGGGGAGAUAGAGAGAUAGAUAGAUAGAGGGGGAUAUAGAGGGAGAGAUAGAGGGAGAUAGAGAUGGAGGGAGAGAUAGAGGGAGAGAUAGAGAUGGAGAGAUAGAGAUAGGGGGAGAUACAGAGGGAGGUAUAGAGAGAGAGAUGGGGGAGAUACAGAGAUAGAUAUAGAGAGAGAGAGAGGGAGAGAUGGAGAGAGAUAUAGAGGGAGAUAUAGAGAUAGUGGGAGAUAGAGAUAGAGAGAGAUAUAGGGAGAUAAUAGAGGGAUAUAGAGGGGAUAUAGAGAGAUGGAGGGAGAGAGAGAGAUAUAGGGGGAGAUAUAGAGGGAGAUAGAGAUAUAGGGAUAGAGGGAGAGAUGGAGGGGGAUAUAGAAGGAGAGAGAGAUGGAGAGAUGAAGGGAUAUAGAGAGGGAGAUACAGAGGGAGAGAGAGAGAGGGAAAUAGAGAGGGAAAUAGAGAGAUAGAGGGAGAUACAGAGGGAGAUAUAGAGUGAUAGAGAGGGAGAUAGAGGGAUAGAGGGAUACAGAGGGAGAUACAGAGGUAGAGGGAGAGAUAGAGAGAGAGAUAGGGAGGGAGGGGGAUAUAGAGGGGGAUAUAGAGAUAGAGGGAGAGAUAGAGAGAUAUAGGGAGAUAUUAGGGAGAUAGAGAGAUAAGAGGGAGAGAGAGAGGGGGAUAGAGAGAUAGAAGGAGAUACGGAGAUAGAGGGAGAGAGAUGGAGGGAGAGAUAUAGAGAUGGAGAGAUAGAGAGAUAGAGAGAGAUACAUAGAGAGAGAUAGAGGGAAAUAGAGAGAUAGGGAGAGGGAGAUAUAGAGAUAGGGGGAGAUAGAGGGAGAUAUAGAGGGGGAUAUAGGGAGAGAUGGAGAGAGAGAGACGGGGAGAUAGGGAGAUAUAGGGGGAGAUAUAGGGGGAGAGAUAGGGGGAGAGAUAGGGGGAGAUAUAGAGAGAGAUAUGGAGAGAUAUGGAGGGAGAUAUAGAGAUAGAGGGAGAGAGAGAUGGAGAUACAGAGAGAGAUAGGGAGGGAGGGAGAGAUGGAGGGAUGGAGAUGGAGGGAUGGAGAUGAUGGAGAUAGAGGGAUAGAGAGAUGGAGGUGGAGAUAUAGGGAUGGAGAUAUAGAGAUGGAGAGAUAGAGAUGGAGAGAUAGAGAUGAUGGAGAUAGAGAUGAUGGAGAGAUAGAGAUGGAGAGAUAUAGAGAUGGAGAGAUAUAGAGAUGGAGAGAUAGAGAUGGAGAGAUAGAGAUGGAGAGAUAGAGAUGGAGAGAUAUAGAGAUGGAGAGAUAUAGAGAUGGAGAGAUAUAGAGAUGGAGAGAUAGAGAUGAUGGAGAUAGACAGAGAGAUGGAGAGAUGGAGGUGGAGAUAUAGAGAUGGAGAUAUAGAGAUGGAGAUAUAGGGAUGGAGAUAUAGGGAUGGAGAUGGAGAUACAGAGCGAUACGGAUAUAAAGGGAGAUACAGAGGGAGAUAUAGAGAUGGAGGGAGAGAGAGAUAUAGAGGGAGGGAGAUACGGAGGGGGAUAUAGAGGGAGAUAUAGAGAUGGAGGGAGAGAUAGAGAGAGAGAUAGAGAUAGGGGGAGAUAUAGAGAGGGAGAGACGGAGGGAGAGAUAGGGAGAGAGAUAUAGAGAUAUAGAGGGAGAUAUAGAGACGGAGAGAUGGAGAUAGGGGGAGAUAUAGGGGGAGAUAGAGAGGGGGAUAGAGAGAUAGGGGGAAAGAGAGAGAUGGAGGGAGAGAUAGAGGGAAAUAUAGAGGGAGAUAUAGGGAGAGAUACAGAGAGAGAUAGA